GUCGAUAUGGCUCAGUUGGUAGAGCGCACCCUUGGUAAGGGUGAGGUCCCCAGUUCGACUCUGGGUAUCAGCACCA
RNAcentral lists this transfer RNA (76 nucleotides) under Klebsiella pneumoniae. RNAcentral describes it as "tRNA-Thr". It matches the Rfam family "tRNA". From Rfam's summary of the family: Transfer RNA (tRNA) molecules are approximately 80 nucleotides in length. The record is from RNAcentral. Lineage: Bacteria; Pseudomonadati; Pseudomonadota; Gammaproteobacteria; Enterobacterales; Enterobacteriaceae.